AAUCAGCACCUCAAGUGGUCAGGAUGAUUAUUGGGCCUAAAGCAUCCGUAGCCGGCUCUGUAAGUUUUCGGUUAAAUCUGUACGCUCAACGUACAGGCUGCCGGGAAUACUGCAGAGCUAGGGAGUGGGAGAGGUAGACGGUACUCGGUAGGAAGGGGUAAAAUCCUUUGAUCUAUUGAUGACCACCUGUGGCGAAGGCGGUCUACCAGAACACGUCCGACGGUGAGGGAUGAAAGCUGGGGGAGCAAACCGG
RNAcentral lists this ribosomal RNA (253 nucleotides) under uncultured archaeon. RNAcentral describes it as "partial 16S ribosomal RNA". It matches the Rfam family "Archaeal small subunit ribosomal RNA", at positions 474 to 727 of the family's 1478-position model. The record is from RNAcentral.